RNAcentral lists this ribosomal RNA (327 nucleotides) under uncultured eukaryote. RNAcentral describes it as "partial 18S ribosomal RNA". It matches the Rfam family "Eukaryotic small subunit ribosomal RNA", at positions 1470 to 1796 of the family's 1831-position model. The record is from RNAcentral.
CCCUUAGAUGUUCUGGGCCGCACGCGCGCUACACUGAUGAAUGCAACGAGCUCUACCCUUGACCGAAAGGCCCGGGUAAACUUGUGAAACUUCAUCGUGAUGGGGAUAGAUUAUUGCAAUUAUUAAUCUUCAACGAGGAAUUCCUAGUAAGCGCGAGUCAUCAGCUCGCGUUGAUUACGUCCCUGCCCUUUGUACACACCGCCCGUCGCUCCUGCCGAUUGAAUGGUCCGGUGAAAUCUUCGGAUUGCUGACCAAGAUCCAGCAAUGGAGCUUGGUUGCGAGAAGUUGAUUAAACCUUAUUAUUUAGAGGAAGGAGAAGUCGUAACA